AUUGAACGCUGGCGGCAGGCCUAACACAUGCAAGUCGAGCGGAUGAAGGGAGCUUGCUCCUGGAUUCAGCGGCGGACGGGUGAGUAAUGCCUAGGAAUCUGCCUGGUAGUGGGGGAUAACGUCCGGAAACGGGCGCUAAUACCGCAUACGUCCUGAGGGAGAAAGUGGGGGAUCUUCGGACCUCACGCUAUCAGGUGAGCCUAGGUCGGAUUAGCUAGUUGGUGGGGUAAAGGCCUACCAAGGCGACGAUCCGUGACUGGUCUGAGAGGAUGAUCAGUCACACUGGAACUGAGACACGGUCCAGACUCCUACGGGAGGCAGCAGUGGGGAAUAUUGGACAAUGGGCGAAAGCCUGAUACAGCCAUGCCGCGUGUGUGAAGAAGGUCUUCGGAUUGUAAAGCACUUUAAGUUGGGAGGAAGGGCAGUAAGUUAAUACCUUGCUGUUUUGACGUUACCAACAGAAUAAGCACCGGCUAACUUCGUG
This 484-nucleotide ribosomal RNA is filed under the name uncultured bacterium. RNAcentral's name for it is "partial 16S ribosomal RNA". It matches the Rfam family "Bacterial small subunit ribosomal RNA", at positions 30 to 507 of the family's 1533-position model. The record is from RNAcentral.